This 1210-nucleotide ribosomal RNA is filed under the name Triticum aestivum (bread wheat). RNAcentral's name for it is "partial small subunit ribosomal RNA". Lineage: Eukaryota; Viridiplantae; Streptophyta; Magnoliopsida; Poales; Poaceae. The record is from RNAcentral.
GAAAAUAAAAGGAGUGGAGGGAGAGGGAGGCACGGUUCGCCAGUCGCCGCAGGGAGAAGGAGGGCUCGCUGUGCCGCUGUGCGAGACGGGCCAGGCGGCGUUCAACCUGAGGAGGCGGCGGCGUUGCGGGUGGAGAGAGGCUGCGUGGCGUAGUCUAACUCCCGGUCGGCUCGAGAGUCGGUACAGACCUGCACUCCAAGCACUCAUGUGAUUGGAGUCGCUGGGAUUUCUAUCUUUCAUACCCUUCCCCUUCCUGUUCUAGCUGCUACUCCUACAGUGGAAGGUCGCGUACCAUCGUUUCUACGUCCUACAACGACCACUCGCCCCUCCGAUGGAAGUACCCGCUCCUCGUAACCUGUCACUACUAAACGAAAUGGAAUUUCUCGUUUACCUCCGACUCCUUCUACGUCUCGCAGAGGAGGCAGCAUGUCUCUUCGCCCGUAAACGACGGAAAUUCUAUAGGAGAGAACGUACUAUGUAAUAUCGUAGAGGGUGUGGAAAAUGUUCUAUUAGAAAUCAUAUUAGGUUCGCAAGAACGAUACGUACGUACGAUAAAAGGUGUAGAUAAUAAACUAAAAGAACAGUAACCAGUACGUCAACGUCGUGUUAUAAGUGUACGGAUCCCCAACAAAGCGUAGAAUAGCGUCGAACGUCGCAAGGUGUAAAGCUAUUGAGACAGUCAAACAAACAAACUAAAGAAAUUGAGACCGUAAUGGUUCGUCGUCAAGAUCGACUAAGACGUGGAGGAUAAGGGCGCCGAGAAGCGCAGCUCGGAUCUGGGUUUUCACUAUAUUCCGUUGCACUAGAGAACUUCUUCUAACAGCUCUAGUUUGGUUUCGCUCGUUUUCAGUCGUCGGGAGCUGUUUGUCGUCUCCCGCUAUCUGGAUUCGUCCUUGUUCUUCUAAGACACUCCUUUUACAGAUGCGGACUUCCACUUUUACUUGCCAGAGUUCCCCGUCAGUCGAAACACGUUGGAGCCAGUUUUGGUCCACUAGGUCGUCUCCGGUUCAGCGUCUUACGUCGACAUUCGAAUGAACCAAAUCGCAUACUCUCAAGCCUGCUCCUUAUCAGCCACCGCACCUCUUUAACAACAUCUGAGGCAGAACUUCAAAAAGACAAGAGAACGAUCUGACACAACAUAGUAGUCUUCCUAUUUCUUGAAUACGGCAGUGACGACCUUUAGUUCGGACUCAAUGAAUAACCCAUCUGA